RNAcentral lists this ribosomal RNA (444 nucleotides) under uncultured bacterium. Its description in RNAcentral is "bacterial SSU rRNA". It matches the Rfam family "Bacterial small subunit ribosomal RNA", at positions 331 to 792 of the family's 1533-position model. The record is from RNAcentral.
CCAGACUCCUACGGGAGGCAGCAGUGGGGGAUAUUGCACAAUGGGGGGAACCCUGAUGCAGCGACGCCGCGUGGGUGAGGAAGUACCCCGGUAUGUAAAGCCCUUUCGGCAGGGAAGAAAAUGACGGUACCUGGCGAAGAAGCCCCGGCUAACUACGUGCCAGCAGCCGCGGUAAUACGUAGGGGGCGAGCGUUAUCCGGAUUCACUGGGUGUAAAGGGAGCGUAGACGGCCAUGCAAGCCAGGGGUGAAAGCCCGGGGCCCAACCCCGGGACUGCCCUUGGAACUGCAUGGCUGGAGUGCGGGAGGGGCAGGCGGAAUUCCUGGUGUAGCGGUGAAAUGCGUAGAUAUCAGGAGGAACACCGGCGGCGAAGGCGGCCUGCUGGACCGCGACUGACGUUGAGGCUCGAAAGCGUGGGGAGCGAACAGGAUUAGAUACCCUAGUA